Molecule: ribosomal RNA, 1124 nt
Filed under: Anopheles belenrae
Lineage: Eukaryota; Metazoa; Arthropoda; Insecta; Diptera; Culicidae
Description: eukaryotic LSU rRNA
Rfam family: Eukaryotic large subunit ribosomal RNA
Source: RNAcentral
GCCUCAAGUUAUGUGUGACAACCCCCUGAAUUUAAGCAUAUUAAUAAGGGGAGGAAAAGAAACCAACCGGGAUUCCCUGAGUAGCUGCGAGCGAAACGGGAGAAGCUCAGCACGUAGGGAUGGCGGCCCGCCCGUCUAUCCGAUUCCGUGUACUGGUACGUCUCACUAUCCGUCUUCCUAGUGGUAUUCAAGUCCAACUUGAACGUGGCUUUGAACCCAUAGAGGGUGAUAGGCCCGUAGAACACCACCCAGCGGUUGAUGGACCGAGCGUACCAUGGAGUCGUGUUGCUUGAUAGUGCAGCACAAAGUGGGAGGUAAACUCCUUCUAAAGCUAAAUACGACCAUGAGACCGAUAGUAAACAAGUACCGUGUAGGAAAGUUGAAAAGCACUCUGAAUAGAGAGUCAAAUAGUACGUGAAACUGCCGAGGGUGUAAAGCCUGUUGAACUCGAUUAUCCGUAGCUCCUGGCAACGUGGGUUUUGGCUGUCACGCAGAAGGGGGCAAAUGCUCUCUUCUGUAUGCCUUGAUCCUAGCCAGGAGCGAGUGCGGACAUCGUGAUCCAUUACGCAAACCAAAUGCGAGCGGCGACUCCGGUUGCUGCGAGCAUAUCCAACAUCAGGUCCCAGAACAUGCGGUCGACCCUCUAGUAGUGGCGCUCAGCUUAAGGCCGGCGUCGCGAACGGGGGAUCGAGGCUCCGGUCUCGAGUUCGGCUAGUUCAGGUGUGCCGUUGGAUGCGUGAUGGGCAUUGAAGUGAACUAGAGAAGUGUGAAGCGCAUGUUUGGGCAUGUUCAAGGGCGAAAGCCUGAGCCGAGCACGACUCCGGAUCUACGAUGUACUAACUAAUCGAGGUACCUACGGGACCCGUCUUGAAACACGGACCAAGAAGUCUAUCUUGCGCGCAAGUCAAUGGGAGUAGCAAACCCAAAGGCGAAGAUAACACAACUGCAAAGUCGUUGCGGGAUUACGGGUGCACCACAGUCCGCAAGGACUGGCUAGCUGUGCCGCCCCUCCAUCCCCGGGUGUUUAGCAACGGAUCUGUAGUGCCGCGGACCCCCCGACAGGGGUGGGCAUUUGCAGAGCCAACGCGACAUACCGCGAGCGCGCAGGAUGUGACCCGAAAGAU